Molecule: long non-coding RNA, 2029 nt
Organism: Neopelma chrysocephalum (saffron-crested tyrant-manakin)
Lineage: Eukaryota; Metazoa; Chordata; Aves; Passeriformes; Pipridae
Exons: 2
Source: RefSeq, a predicted model, not a curated record
GAGCUGCUUUUCCCGGGAGAAGCUCGGGGUGAAGCCGUUUAAAACUGGGAUUUGGGAGCUUUCUGGUGCGCGCAGGGCUGGAUAUUGUGUGUGUUUGGCACUUAGGGAAAGUGUGUCCCUGCUCGGGAAUGUCGCAAUCCUGGCUCCUGGCUCGGUUUCAGCGCUCUGGGGAUAAUUCCAGGGGAAAUUCCGGGGCGGUUUUUUUUUUAACCCCCCUACUUUUUUUUGUUUGUUUGAUUCUGGGUUGAAAGGAAGAGUGAAAGGAGGGGGGGAAGGGGUUUUGGGGGCAGCAGCACUCUCGUGACUCGGUGUUGGGCAAUGGAGCAAUCCAGCUGGGAAAUAAACAGGAGCAGUUGGGAAAGAGCCCCAGCCCAGGUGUGGAGCAGGUGGUUGGGUUACUUGGCUGGAGCCCGGCCAGGAUUCAUGAUCCCUGGCUCAGUUUUCCUCCCAGCCCGGGUGGGGAGAGGUGAACUGGAAAGGGGGUUAUUUCUCCUGCCCCAGCACAACCUUUGGGAUGCAAUUCCAGGCUCUUGGAGAGCUGCUGGUGUGGCUUUGGCGACGCCGCCUUCGUCCGGCGGCUCCGCGGAUCGUGGGGGGUGUGUCAGUGGCGAUUCCCGGCCUCGGGUCCUUCCAGCGUCGCUCCAGCGUCUCCCAAGUCGUGUCUGGGCGUGGGAAGAGUGGAAUUUGAGCCAGGCCAACCCUGUCCCUGCAGGAGGGGAGGGCAGCUGGAUGCUGGGAGCUGUUGUCAUGUGGCUCCGGCGCAGCAGCAGGCAGGGAAUGGGAAUGGGAAUGGGGCGUGGGAAUGGGUGUGGGAAGGGGUGUGAGCGCCGCAGAGACAAAGGUGAUGCUUGCUUUGGGUCUGGGAUUGAUGGAUGAGCAGCGGGAUCCUUCCCUGGGAAUGGUGUCCUGAUUGGACCUGCAGGUUUUCCAUGGGUUUUCCCACGGGGGUCUCCUGGCUCCGCUGGGCUGUGGGAUUGAGGGGGAAAAUCCCGUUCUGGGUUGGGAAGUGACCUUGGAGGUGUCAGGCGGUCACAGAACACGAGGCCAAACCUUCCCACCUUGUGCUGCUUCCCUGGGAGCGGAGAGAUGCAAUUCCCUGCCUCGGGAAUGGCGAAGGAUGUGAUGAAAUGCCUUGUGCAAGGUCACUCCUGGAAGGGUCCCUCGUCCUUCCCAAGGCUGGCAUUCCUGGCCGAGGGCCUGGGGAGCCUUCCCAGUGCCGGGUGGGGAAACAGGGAGCUGAUUUUAGGGAGGAACAGUGCGGAUUUGGGAGGUGAAGGCUGGUGGCUCCUCUUUUCCAGAGGCCUCUGUGCAGCUGCAUCCCGGGACGUGCUGGGAAUGAAGCUCCCGGCCGGGCUGGGAAUCUCCUCCAGGGCAGGGUGUGGAGAUCCGCAGCUCCCGGGGGUUGCAGCAUCCCUGCUCUUCCCGGGUGGCUCUUUUCCACGUUUUCCCCCCCAAGCCCCUGGAUGGACAGGAGGGGAGGGUGCUGUUGCCAGGGCCCAGCUCCAGGAAAUCCCGUCUGGCUCCCACGUCACUCCAGUCACACCAUCCCCGUGCCCUCCUCCCCCGGGGCCAGCCAGACCCAACUCGCUGCUGCCACGCUCCAAACCAGCCUUGUUUUAAGGGCUUUUUGGGGAUUCUUUUUUUUUUUUCCUUGGGUUUUGGUGUCUUUGUCCCGAUCCUUGACUCCCUCCCCCAAACCUUUCCAAGGGGAAUAUCCCGGGAACUCUGCAGCUCCCUGGGAGGCACCUGCAGGGCCUGGGGCGGGUGCUGAUGAUCUGCAGAUGGCUCCAGGGCCGGGCUUUAAAUUUUUCCAUGACUUUCCCUGGCACAUUGCGACUCCCUGGGCCAGGCACGACCUUGCUUGGGAGUGGGGGGUGGGGUUGGAAUAUGGCUGAUUAUAAAUAAUUUUGGGAAUGCCGUGGAGGGGCAUUUUUUUUUGGGCGUUGCAGCUGCGAAAUGCGGAAAUACGGAAUCCAGUUAUUUUAUCCCACGGAUAAAACAAACAAAAAAAAAUUAAAAAUAAUAAAAA